GACGAACGUUUGCGGCGUGCUUAACACAUGCAAGUCGAACGGAAAGGCCCUGCUUUUGUGGGGUGCUCGAGUGGCGAACGGGUGAGUAACACGUGAGUAACCUGCCCUUGACUUUGGGAUAACUUCAGGAAACUGGGGCUAAUACCGGAUAGGAGCUCCUGCUGCAUGGUGGGGGUUGGAAAGUUUCGGCGGUUGGGGAUGGACUCGCGGCUUAUCAGCUUGUUGGUGGGGUAGUGGCUUACCAAGGCUUUGACGGGUAGCCGGCCUGAGAGGGUGACCGGCCACAUUGGGACUGAGAUACGGCCCAGACUCCUGCGGGAGGCAGCAGUGGGGAAUAUUGCACAAUGGGCGGAAGCCUGAUGCAGCAACGCCGCGUGCGGGAUGACGGCCUUCGGGUUGUAAACCGCUUUCGCCUGUGACGAAGCGUGAGUGACGGUAAUGGGUAAAGAAGCACCGGCUAACUACGUGCCAGCAGCCGCGGUGAUACGUAGGGUGCGAGCGUUGUCCGGAUUUAUUGGGCGUAAAGGGCUCGUAGGUGGUUGAUCGCGUCGGAAGUGUAAUCUUGGGGCUUAACCCUGAGCGUGCUUUCGAUACGGGUUGACUUGAGGAAGGUAGGGGAGAAUGGAAUUCCUGGUGGAGCGGUGGAAUGCGCAGAUAUCAGGAGGAACACCAGUGGCGAAGGCGGUUCUCUGGGCCUUUCCUGACGCUGAGGAGCGAAAGCGUGGGGAGCGAACAGGCUUAGAUACCCUGGUAGUCCACGCUGUAAACGGUGGGUACUAGGUGUGGGGUCCAUUCCACGGGUUCCGUGCCGUAGCUAACGCUUUAAGUACCCCGCCUGGGGAGUACGGCCGCAAGGCUAAAACCCAAAGGAAUUGACGGGGCCCCGCACAAGCGGCGGAGCAUGCGGAUUAAUUCGAUGCAACGCGUAGAACCUUACCUGGGUUUGACAUGGAUCGGGAGUGCUCAGAGAUGGGUGUGCCUCUUUUGGGGUCGGUUCACAGGUGGUGCAUGGCUGUCGUCAGCUCGUGUCGUGAGAUGUUGGGUUAAGUCCCGCAACGAGCGCAACCCUUGUUCACUGUUGCCAGCACGUUAUGGUGGGGACUCAGUGGAGACCGCCGGGGUCAACUCGGAGGAAGGUGGGGAUGACGUCAAGUCAUCAUGCCCCUUAUGUCCAGGGCUUCACGCAUGCUACAAUGGCUGGUACAGAGAGUGGCGAGCCUGUGAGGGUGAGCGAAUCUCGGAAAGCCGGUCUCAGUUCGGAUUGGGGUCUGCAACUCGACCUCAUGAAGUCGGAGUCGCUAGUAAUCGCAGAUCAGCAACGCUGCGGUGAAUACGUUCCCGGGGCU
RNAcentral lists this ribosomal RNA (1346 nucleotides) under uncultured bacterium. RNAcentral describes it as "partial 16S ribosomal RNA". It matches the Rfam family "Bacterial small subunit ribosomal RNA", at positions 28 to 1381 of the family's 1533-position model. The record is from RNAcentral.